Molecule: long non-coding RNA, 240 nt
Filed under: Medicago truncatula (barrel medic)
Lineage: Eukaryota; Viridiplantae; Streptophyta; Magnoliopsida; Fabales; Fabaceae
Description: long non-coding RNA (MTRU_LNC007778)
Source: RNAcentral
AAUUGAACAUGUAGUAGAACAAUUAGAUUAUUGGCAAAGUGAAGAUUUCAACGACAAAGCAAUGGAGAGGUGGAAGGAAAUGGAAAUUGGUGGAUGACCCUGCAACAAAAGCAUCAUAUAUAUAGAAAGGGAUGGAUGACCUGCAACAAAAGCAUCAUAUAUAUAAAAAAAUAAAAUCAAAUAAGACAAACUUUCAACUUGUCUUUAUAGUAUUUUUUUAUUUUUAUUUUUUUGCUUUAU